Gasterosteus aculeatus aculeatus (three-spined stickleback) is the source of this 4149-nucleotide long non-coding RNA. The record is from Ensembl. NCBI's taxonomy places the organism in Eukaryota, Metazoa, Chordata, Actinopteri, Perciformes, Gasterosteidae.
ACAUGGUGUAUCAAAGACGAACUGGCAACAGAGGACAGGAACCCACAGACUAAAUACACCGGGUGAUGAGGGCCAGGUGCAAACAAUCAGGGAGGAGCUGACAAUCACCCAGGUGGAACCCACACACAUGAGGGAGGGAGUGAGGAGUCUGAAACGAGAGGAGAGAGAAUCAAUUGGAACAGUUGGAAUUGCAACUGAGGGAAAAGGAGAAGAAAUGCAGCUCAGCAUGCAGGCCUGCCGAGAAGAAAGCAGAAGAACAAUGUGGUAUUUAACCCUCCUAUUACCUUUGGGGUCAAUUUGACCCCAUUCAAGUUUAACGUCUCUAAAUAAAUUAUUGAUAUAAUUUUUUUUGCUUCAUAUUUCAUGACUUUUCCUAAUUUAUUGGGGACAACUGGGUAAACAUAAAAUUAACAAGAAGAUAUGUUUUCAAUUUCCUGUACACAACUUGUACGCAUCGGUGUUCUUCGGGGUCAAUUUGACCCCAAGCUGUUUUUCACUGUGUAAAACAUAAAAGAAAUAUCAACAUGUUUCACACAUUGGUUCUGGUUGUUAUGGAUGAUUUUGAGGUCACUAUAACAAACAAUUUUAUAAUCUUAAAGAAAGUUUUAGGGCCCUAGCCUUACAUAACCCUUGCGGUGUAUGUGGUGUGUGUUUGGGGGAGGUGUUUGUGUGCGUGCAGGUUUUUAUGCCUCUGCCUGUUCCCGCACAAGGUUGCAGUCCAGCUAUGACUGGAAUAUGCAGGUGUACACUGGUAAAUUCCCUGGGCAUGCACCUGAAAAAAAUCAGGGCAUGAGGGUGGUACUUGACAUGGCUGAAGGACUGAAUGGUCAUAACAUUACAUGUGAUAAUUUUUUCACAUCGUAUGCCCUGGGUGAAGAACUGCUGAAAAGGAAGGUUACCAUGUUGGGGACAGUGAGAAAAAACAAGUCGGAGCUUCCCACUGAGCUGCUUGUGAUGAAGAACACAGCGGUAACAUCUUCAAUGUUUGCCUUCACUGACAGAGCCACUGUCGUCUCCUAUUGCUCCAAGAAAGGGAAAAAAUGUCCUGCUGAUGAGCACCAUGCACAAAGAUGCUGUCCUGAGCACCAGAGAAGACAGAAAACCACAAAUGGUCUUGGACUACAACAAGACAAAGAGAGGGGUAGAUAACCUGGACAAGGUCACAGCCACAUACAGCUGCCGACGCAUGACUGCCCGUUGGCCCCUUGUAAUUUUCUUCAACAUCAUUGAUGUGAGCGCCUACAAUGCCUUUGUAAUAUGGAGUGAGAUAAACAAGGACUGGAACAGCGGAACACUGACUCGAAGGAGGAUUUUCCUGGAGAAGCUGGGUUACGCGUUGGUGAAAUCUCGAGAGAGAAUCGAGAGAAGACAGUGCCUUCCAAGAGCAUCAACUGCUGCUGCAACUGUUGUGAAGGACAUCCAUACAGAGGCACACUGUGCAGCUCCUCCAGUGGUUCAAACUACAGGCAGGAAACGUGGUAGGUGCCAGGUCUGUCUGAAAUGACUCCAAGACCAGCAACACCUGUGUGAAAUGCAAGAAAUACAUCUGCAAGGAACAUACAUGCACUCUCUGCACAUCAUGUGUACAGUAGUGCAGACCAAAGGCUGGAAUGUACCUUCUGGUGGCCUGAAGGAAAGAUAAUAUGCUAUUCAUAUUCUGUCAAACUAAUUUUAGUGACUUUGUUUUUUUCACUAUCUCAUGCAAAAAUAUUUGCAUACAUAGCACUUAGUGUAGCAUAUACCAAUCUCAAAUGUACUUUAAUAUUUGUGGAAAUAAAUACCUGUUAUGUGUUCCUUAGUGAUGUUCUGAUGAUGAUGAUAUUCUGUUUUACAAACAAAAUCCUUCUAAAUUUCUGAAAUUGUGUUUGUUUUUCCUGGGGUCAAAUUGACCCCGAACAUAAUCCAUGUUACUAUUCUUGAUAACAGAAAUUGUUUUUCAUUCCAAAUAAUAUGGAUAUAAAAAACAUGUACUUAGACAUAAUAUAAAGCCAUUAAAACACCAAAAAUAUAUCUCUUUCCAAUUUUAGGUCAAUCAGUGAGAUUUUAAUGGUGAUCUGCAUAUUUCGCCAUAGUCGCGAAAAUUCUGCAUGUAUCAGUGGUGGGGUGUAUUUUUAUUUAUUUAAAGGGCUAUUUAGGUAGUCAACAAACAAACAUAAAGUACCUGACACUCAAACUUGGGAAACAAUAUUAACUCUAAUAAUUUUCUGACGGUCUAAGUUGUUGGGGUCAAAUUGACCACAAGGGUAAAAGGUGUUUGUAAAUUUGAAGGUAAUAGGAGGGUUAAGGCAGACUGGGAAGCCUUCAAGAUGUGGAAAUAUGAGUCGGAGAGAAGGGAGAGAAAGAGUUUGAAUUUAAUUGCAUUUAAUUCAUUAAAAAACAAAGAACCUACAAAAAGUGCUGAAAUGUGUACCCCCUCUAAUCCUAAAACACUUUAUCCCUGUUUUUCUGAGAUCCUGAGGAGAUUGGUGGGCACGGAUCUGGACUCCCCCCCUCCCCUGAUCUGAAGCAAUUCGUCAGAGAAUACCGUCCUACCAUGUCAGAGGUGGAGCGUCUGAUGAGCAGACUGCUGACAAAUGACUAUCACAAGAUUCAAAGUGUGUUCCCCUCCACAAGAAUGACUGCUCGCCUGAGAGAUCCGGAUUAUGAGAAGGACACAAACGCAGCCUUUAGAAACGCUGCGGAUGCUCUCAUUGUGAUGGUAAAAGAACAAUUUCCUCCGAGACUGAACCUUUCCGCCAUCACCUCUAUGACACAAGGGCCACAAGAAACAUGCAUCUCCUUCCUGACCUGCCCGACCACAGCCUUUGACACUCACAGCGGCCUUAACAGACCUGAUCCAAUGGGGGCACAGCCCCUAAUGCCAUAUGCAUGCCAUAUUGUCUACUGAGUCCUGCCCCGCAUCCCUGACACCAUAUCCGGAUAGCUCUGACAGUGAUGAUGAAUCGUUUUGCUGACGAGAGAAUCGAACCGUGGAGUCCGAAUCUGAAUUGCUAUCCGAACAUGAAUGGGUUCACCUUGAUGCUGCUGUUUGCUGCUCAGUGCUUUCCAGUAACAGCAAGCGGAAACAAAUCGGCACAGCUCUUUUUCUGCAGUAUUCCAGGAUGUGGCUCUAAUGUGACCCACGUGUUUUGCAACGACGAGUCGCUCCUCAGUGAUGGUCCCAUCCCGAACUGUACCGGGCCUCCACCCCCCAAUACUGUCUGCCAGCACAAGGGCUUCGCAUUCGCCUCCACCGAUUCAGAUGCUGGCUGUGAUUUUGAAGGGAAAGACGGUCUUAUUGAGUCGGGAAAAUGUACAGACAACAGCAGCAUCUGUGCUUCUCUUCACCGUGGAUUUCAUCGUCCAUCGCUGACCACUGCCUUUCCUCUAGUCAACGCUACAUCACAAGUCCCCACAAGGGGGCGUUAUGGAUUAAUUGUUGAAGGUGUAAUUUUAGGUCUGCUGAUCGUAGGAAUAGGAAUAGCAAGAAGAGUCUCUUAUAGACGCUCACAGCAGGAUUCAGCAAGUAACGCUGCUGUGACUGAACCGCUGAGACAGAUGGAAGGUCCCGAAGGAAUCAGUGAUAGUGAUACUGCUGGAUUGGAAGAUGGCGGUUCUACUUCCCACCAGGAGAGUGGAGUUUAAACAACUGCAGCUUCAUCAUCUUUGUUGUAUUUUUCUCAUUUUUUUCUCAAGAUAUCUCAUGGGGUUGUUUUUUUUUUAAAUGUAGCACAAACAUCCAUGAACUGAUUAGGUUUUUGUGGUUAAAGGUCAACGUGAAAUCAGCCCCAUUAUUACAAACACAAUAUCUCAGGAACACCUUAAGAGAGUUUCUGGACUGCAGGAUGAAGUCAUACGGUUUUUGCAAUCAAAAGGUCACUGUGAAAAAUGUUUAUUUAAUCUUUAUCCUUAUUUAAGGCCACGAGUCGCAUCAAUAAACUUAUACAGAUAAUUUUGCAAACACGUCCAGUAGAAUAACAUGAUGAAGUAAUGCCAUUUUGGACAGACCCUGGUGAAGAAUGUUUAUGCGGUAGUUUUUCCUAUUUUUGAAAUCAACAUGACAUCUGUUUUAGAAGUGUUCCUUUUAGUGCAAGCCUCCCCCACUUCCUGUAUAUUAUCAUUACUAUUAUAUUAUGUACAAUAAACUCAGAUGCAAAUUAAAAGUUGUUG